UCUAAGGCCGAUUUUUCCAGAUUGUGAUCCUACCGAUGAUGCUGUCAGAUUUUGUGCCUGCAUAUGUAUCUGUAAGUAUAUAUAUUUAAUCAUUAUUUAUAUUAUAUUAGUCGAUAAAAAAUAAUCAAAUUAUUAUAGAUAUUUUUAAUCAAAAUUUUGUAUUUUUAACUUGGAUAGAAUUUUUAUUUUAUUGAAUGUGUUUUUAUAUCGAUUUUUAUCGAUGAUGAGAGUCAAUAUUUGUAAUCUUGUAGAAUUUUUAUAUUUAUCUGUAAAAUUUGGAAAUGUGUAAGUUAGGCAGGUCACACGAUCCAGUAGACAAUGAUCCACGCCUCAGGUUAUAAGAGCGAACAGAUUUUCUGUUAAUUGUUUAGUGUGGUGCAUAGAAGAGUUCAUUAUUUAAGGUCACGGGAAACGAAUUUGUAGAGUAAGGUCGCCAUUUAAAAAUUUUAAAUACGAAAAGUCACAUUAUUUGCACAUGUGGCCAUAUGGUAGUUUUAUCAAGCAUUGCAAAUUCCCAUCAGAACAUGUUUGGUUGUUUACGUUGACCUUACUACAUAACUUCAUUUCCUGUGACCUUGAUAACGAACUUCUCUAUGUACAAACUUCUGAUAUGCCACCCAAACAAUUAACCAGAGGACGACAAAAGUCAAACAUACCCCGAAGAUACUACCGUAAAUAAACUGUAAUUAAGCGCAUAGAACUUAGCCAUUAAAAAAAAAUAAUAAUAAAAAUCUCGGUUAAUAAAAAGAGACGGCUUAGAAUCAACCGCUUCGACCUUUUUAACCGUAUCAUUAA
Molecule: long non-coding RNA, 795 nt
Filed under: Androctonus crassicauda
Lineage: Eukaryota; Metazoa; Arthropoda; Arachnida; Scorpiones; Buthidae
Source: RNAcentral